This is a long non-coding RNA of Gopherus flavomarginatus (Mexican gopher tortoise), 898 nucleotides long. RefSeq lists it as uncharacterized. Lineage: Eukaryota; Metazoa; Chordata; Testudines; Testudinidae. The transcript is spliced from 2 exons. The record is from RefSeq and is a predicted model, not a curated record.
GCGAGAAAAAGGGCUUUAAAAAUUACUGCAGAACGGGGUCCUCUGUAGCAAUAGAAUGUGUCAAAGUUUUUUAAUUACGCUAAAAGAGACUUCUACACACACAGUGAACUACUCUUCCAAAAAGCAUUUGCUUCUGUAAGUAACGAGACAGAUGCACAAAAACUUCCUAUUAAUGUUAAUUCUCUCAAUAGCUUUGGUAUACGUUUUUCCAAUGUAUACAUCAAUGGAAGCCUUCUCUGGGUGGUACUUUUACCAGGCAUGCUACAGGGGCUGACUGGCUGUCAUUGCAUAGAGAUAGACCCUGGACUGGCUUCUCCAAACCCUUUCUUGUCCCCUUAAAAAUCCUCGAACUGCUCAUGUCUCCACAGAAUCAGUACACGGAGCAGGGCGGUGAGUGCUGGUUUGCUCUGCUGGCUCUGCAGGGCUGAACUAGCCAGGUUUGACUUGGAGACACUGAGAGAACAAUGAUGCAUCCAACGAGGUUGUGGUCACCUGUAUCUGAACUGUUUAAUGGAUAAAUUACCCUGUGCUAUUUGCCAGGAUGAUUGGAAGAAGGAGAGUUAAACCUAUUGUUUUCUCAGGCCAAAAGGCUGCUGGAAAUGUAUAAAAACCCUGGGACACGAUCCUGCUUCAUCUCAGAUCUGCUUUGGGUUUCAAGAGGGGGAAACUUUAAGCCACAAGGAUUGAGAUUCCCAGUCAUUGACUGGAGCCACCUUGAAUAUAGACAUUGGACUAUAACCUCUGGACUAUUUCUAAAAGGACUUUUGGCAACUGCAAGCUCAUCUCUGCUAUGUGCCUGAACCUCAAGAAUUGAAUUCAAGUCUGUCUGUAUAUUGAUCUUUUAACCAACACUCUCUCCCUUUUCUUUUUAAAUAAAUUUGAGCUUAGUUAAUAAGAA